Oncorhynchus keta (chum salmon) is the source of this 263-nucleotide long non-coding RNA. RefSeq lists it as uncharacterized. The record is from RefSeq and is a predicted model, not a curated record. The transcript has 2 exons. NCBI's taxonomy places the organism in Eukaryota, Metazoa, Chordata, Actinopteri, Salmoniformes, Salmonidae.
AGGUAACACGCCUUCAAUGGGUUAACAAUCAAAACCAGAGGAAGAGGAGGAGAGGAAGAGUAGUGGUAGGUAGGAGGAGAGGAAGAGUAGUGGUAGGUAGGAGGAGAGGAAGAGUAGUGGUAGGUAGGAGGAGAGGAAGAGUAGUGGUAGGAGGAGAGGAAGAGUAGUGGUAGGAGGAGAGGAAGAGUAGUGGUAGGAGGAGAGGAAGAGUAGUGGUAGUAAAAAUCAAAUAAAAAUUGUGGGGGAAAAAUCAAAUAAAAAAA